GGUGAAAAGCACCCCGGAAGGGGAGUGAAAUAGAACCUGAAACCGUGUGCUUACAAGUAGUCAGAGCCCGUUAAUGGGUGAUGGCGUGCCUUUUGUAGAAUGAACCGGCGAGUUACGAUUUGAUGCAAGGUUAAGCAGUAAAUGUGGAGCCGUAGCGAAAGCGAGUCUGAAUAGGGCGUUUAGUAUUUGGUCGUAGACCCGAAACCAGGUGAUCUACCCUUGGUCAGGUUGAAGUUCAGGUAACACUGAAUGGAGGACCGAACCGACUUACGUUGAAAAGUGAGCGGAUGAACUGAGGGUAGCGGAGAAAUUCCAAUCGAACCUGGAGAUAGCUGGUUCUCUCCGAAAUAGCUUUAGGGCUAGCCUCAAGUGAUGAUUAUUGGAGGUAGAGCACUGUUUGGACGAGGGGCCCCUCUCGGGUUACCGAAUUCAGACAAACUCCGAAUGCCAAUUAAUUUAACUUGGGAGUCAGAACAUGGGUGAUAAGGUCCGUGUUCGAAAGGGAAACAGCCCAGACCACCAGCUAAGGUCCCAAAAUAUAUGUUAAGUGGAAAAGGAUGUGGCGUUGCCCAGACAACUAGGAUGUUGGCUUAGAAGCAGCCAUCAUUUAAAGAGUGCGUAAUAGCUCACUAGUCGAGUGACACUGCGCCGAAAAUGUACCGGGGCUAAACAUAUUACCGAAGCUGUGGAUUGUCCUUUGGACAAUGG
This 708-nucleotide ribosomal RNA is filed under the name Staphylococcus aureus. RNAcentral's name for it is "partial 23S ribosomal RNA". It matches the Rfam family "Bacterial large subunit ribosomal RNA", at positions 513 to 1228 of the family's 2925-position model. Lineage: Bacteria; Bacillati; Bacillota; Bacilli; Caryophanales; Staphylococcaceae. The record is from RNAcentral.